This 20-nucleotide unclassified non-coding RNA is filed under the name Mus musculus (house mouse). RNAcentral describes it as "oocyte_clustered_small_RNA1317". The record is from RNAcentral. Lineage: Eukaryota; Metazoa; Chordata; Mammalia; Rodentia; Muridae.
UAGGCGGGGUCCCGGAACUA